This is a non-coding RNA of Prunus mume (Japanese apricot), 739 nucleotides long. NCBI's taxonomy places the organism in Eukaryota, Viridiplantae, Streptophyta, Magnoliopsida, Rosales, Rosaceae. The record is from RefSeq and is a predicted model, not a curated record.
UGUACUCUUACAAAGACACUAGUAAAAUAAGAACUUUCUUACAUUAACCAAUGAAAUUUGGUUGGCUAAUUUUAGUUUUUGCCCUUUUCCUUUUUCUUCUCCUUUUUUCACCAAGCCUAUUCCUUAAAGAAGAUCAGUGGUUGCCAUGCCAACGGGGUUUACCUAGUAGAAAAUGGCUUUGACUUGCAGACGAGAGGGCGACGGGGUCUCAGAGUAGUCUCAGGGUGGGGAGAAAAAUGUACUAACAAUGGUCAAGCUCCAACAGUUCAACAGACCCAAGUGGGGUUUGGAAGCUCUCCAAAGUUCAUGGUGGUGGUGAAUAACCAGUGCCCUAUGUGCCCAAUCAUCGACAUUCAUUUGAAGUGUGGAAGCUUUCCUCAGGCUCUGGUCAACCCGAGACUGCUCAAGGUGCUAGGCGUCGAUGAUUGUGUUAUUAACAGCGGGUUGCCAUUGGCACCUCUGCAGACAUUUUCCUUCAAUUAUUCUCACCAAAAGUAUCUCAUGUAUCCAAAAAUCUGGUCUUUUCAAUGUGAGUGACUUGAUUAAUUAGGCCUACCAGGUAAUUAAGCAGUUAAUUAGUUUCCUUUGUCUUGCAUCCUUUGGGUCCAUGUGAUGAAUUAUUCUUAAUCUCGUCUUAAUUAACAAUAUUAAGUAUAUAAACAUGAGAACAUAUGGAAAACAUCUCUGGACCCAAAGAAAUUAAAUUGGACAGAAAGUAACCACCAGGGAAGCUUUAAAC